RNAcentral lists this non-coding RNA (319 nucleotides) under Clostridium botulinum F str. Langeland. Its description in RNAcentral is "Group I catalytic intron". It matches the Rfam family "Group I catalytic intron". Rfam says of the family: Group I catalytic introns are large self-splicing ribozymes. They catalyse their own excision from mRNA, tRNA and rRNA precursors in a wide range of organisms. The record is from RNAcentral. Lineage: Bacteria; Bacillati; Bacillota; Clostridia; Eubacteriales; Clostridiaceae.
CCUCCCAUGUUCGUAAAGAGCAUGGAGUGAUGUAUGAAAUACAUCCAAAAUCCUUUGAAUUGCUGGAAAUCCCUAAAGCUAACUAAACUACAACGUAAGGAUGAAAUAUGCCUAAGUGUGAUAGUUACGAAAGUAGAAAAAAUUAGUUAGAUGGCAUAAGGUUAAAUCCUAAAUGCUAAAACAAUGGGCAAUCAGCAGGUAAGCCUCGAAAAGAGGAAACUUCAACGACUAUCAUGUAAUGGGAGUACACUAUAAGCUAUUGGUAGUGGAGGACACCGAUUAGGUGAUAAUAUAGUCUACGCUCAUAUGAAAGUAUGAG